UGAGUAAGCCAGAUGAUCGCAUGUAUCUAUCGAAAGAUUGUAUAUGAGGAAAGUCCGGGCUCCAAAGGGCAAGGGUGCCGGGUAACUCCCGGUGAAGGCGACUUUAAGGAAAGUGCAACAGAAAUAUACCGCCUGUGAAAACAGGUAAGGAUGAAAAGGCGAGGUAAGAGCUCACCGCUAACCUGGUAACAGGAUAGGCAAUGUAAACCCCACCUGGAGCAACACCGUGAUAUAAGACAUUUAGCGGCCCGUUAGUUUUAUAGAGGUGGCUUGAACGAAAUAGAAAUAUUUGGUCUAGACAGAUGAUCAUCCAAUACAGAACCCGGCUUAUAGACUUACUCAAAAU
RNAcentral lists this RNase P RNA (346 nucleotides) under Clostridia bacterium. RNAcentral describes it as "RNase P RNA component class A". It matches the Rfam family "Bacterial RNase P class A". From Rfam's summary of the family: Ribonuclease P (RNase P) is a ubiquitous endoribonuclease, found in archaea, bacteria and eukarya as well as chloroplasts and mitochondria. Its best characterised activity is the generation of mature 5'-ends of tRNAs by cleaving the 5'-leader elements of precursor-tRNAs. The record is from RNAcentral. Lineage: Bacteria; Bacillati; Bacillota; Clostridia.